Molecule: long non-coding RNA, 3097 nt
Organism: Alligator mississippiensis (American alligator)
Lineage: Eukaryota; Metazoa; Chordata; Crocodylia; Alligatoridae
Exons: 2
Source: RefSeq, a predicted model, not a curated record
GAGAAGUGAUUAAAGCAUCCUCAUCUGUGAGCUCUUUUAUACAGUUGUCAGACCUCUGGAAGCGUCUGAGGCAUCUUUUGUACCUGACGUCCUUAUUAGCUACAAAACAUGCGUGUGUCAUGUGUGCCAACCCUCCAAAUACUGUAAUUGUUUCAUUCCGUGUUUGUAAUUAUUGUGUUUUUUUACUUUAGCUUGUGACUGGCAAAUAACUGCCCCCCAGGUGUCUUUUAAAUUAAAAGUUUAUGGGUCAACCUUCUUCCUGGUCUUGCUCUAUGGAAUCCAUUGGAGUUGGAGGAUUGUGGGUAAGUCUGCAGGGUACGCACAGCAGUCGUAGGUGGGACCAAUUGCUCUCAUGUGCAUGAAUCCAAUUUGCUCCACGGUCUUAUACGCUGGGUUUUCUGAAACUCCAGUGGGGAAGGAGCCAUUGUAUAGCAUGGUCAGGUGCGCAUCUGAAAUGUUCUGAUUCUGUGGCCACCAAAACCCAUGGAUGUCAGCCCAUUGACCUGUGGAAGGAUUCAGAUGCUUCACACAUCUUGUGAACCCCACUUACACUUUUUAAAAACCUGGAGUGUUGAACUUUAAUUGUGUAUUAUUUCAUUUAAUUUUUUUUCUGUUAUUUUGUAUUCUUUUGGCUUUGCUCUGUAUUUCCCUGCAUGUCAAUUAAAAUUUCAUUUGUUUAAUGACUGCCAGUGGUUUCACCAAUGCAGCAGGAUCAGGAUUCAGAACAGAAGACUAUUGCUAAGCUGCCUGCUGGCAAAUUCUGAGGAUGGUAUUAGGAGAAAAGAAAGCAUGGGGUCUUAUGAAAGCUCUAAAUUACAGCUGUAAAACUGUAUGAUAUGGAUGUCCUUGACUUUUUCCAUAGCUAGGCAAGACAGUUAUUGGCAACUUCAUAUUUUCCAAAUGCAAAGCCUAAUAAGAUAUGCAAGCGAGACAAAAAAAAAUUCCUGGUCAUCUGGGAGCUGCAGAGGGAGAGGGUCCGAAGAGACAAUGUGGUUAUGUUCUGCUUCAAUACUCUUCUCCUUCACCUGCCCUCAUCCACUGUAAGACACCUGCGACCUUCUGGAUGGACCUACGAUCUGUCCCGCGUGGCAUUUCUUGUGUUCUUACUGAGGUGAAGUGUGUUGAGGUGAUGAAGCUAAUCUGAAUCCUGACCAGACUUGGUGUGUGGCAGGAGCCAUGUUUGGCAAGGAGCUUCCCACCCUCUAACAGAACAAAACCCCAAGAAAGUUUUCAUUUAAUUUGAGGAAGAAAAAGAGUCUUUCCCUCUUUGUCUCUUCCGAGCGCUCUAGAUGUUUAUUGCUGUGCUAAGUGAUACCAGGUCUGUGAAAUCUUAAAGGAAAUAGUUUACAAAAAAGGGAUAGAAACCGACUGAUCAUUUUAUAAUGCAAAUUAAAAAGCCCCAAAUUGCAAGGCCAUAAUAACUCAUGACCUAAUUAAGACUUAAAAACCAGUGAGCUUGAUUUGCAUUUUCAAUGUAUCUGUAUUGCUACAUACAGGGGUGUCUUCCAGUAGGAAAGUAUGACAUUUGUAGAAAUGCAAUGAUUUGCCCCUGUAAUGAUUGUUAAUGUAGUGCAUCCUAAAUUCUGAGAGGAUUAGAAUAUCCUCUGUGUCUGUUAUUAUCCUUAUUUUUUAUUAAACUAAGCAGUGGGACAUUGAGGUGAAGGUCACAUUAUUGCCACUAAAUGACUUUAGACACUUGAUAGUCCUGACUGCAUUUUGUGCAACCUUCAACCGACUGAGUGAGUCCUGUGAGAUUGUGUUGCAAGAUAACGGUAGCACUUUGCCAGAUUAAAUAAGGCUUGGCAUUUUGGACUUGUAAAUGUGUCAUUAACAAGAGUAUAAUUAUAUGAGAGUCACAUCCAUGUUUGGCUUUCACGUCUCUUGUUUUUUUGGGUCGAGCUUCUUCUGAAUCAUCUUUUGGAGUAAACAAUGACCACGUACAUCAUGUUGCCAUCUCCUUCCUCUUUUCCUUCUUUGUGGAGGAAGAGAAUUCUGCUGAGGACAGCUUAUAAUCAGAAAAAAAAACCAAGGAAAACAAUUAUUUCAAUGAAAGGUGUGGCAUCCACAACAGAACGUUUUGCAUCUGAUAAACACUAAAGGGUGUUUAGCAGGUACCAAGCAGUUUCUGAAGCUGUAUAAAAGGAGUCACAAAACACUGCUCUUUACUCACUUCUCUUGAUUUACUCUCCGUUAUAAAUCAGGUUCACCUCCAGCACAGCAAGAUGUUUGACAGCCUGGAUGUGAUUGAAGACCUCCAUUACCCGGGCCAGUCUGACUGUUUUCCCCACCAGCGUAGAAGGCCACCAUACACGUGUUGUUGCUAUGACCAAUGGGGAAGGCUGGUCUGGCGUGGUUGCUGCUGGUCUGCACCCCCCUGGUGGUGCCGUAGGGGCAGCUCUGGGAACGGCUGGCCAUGCUAAAUCCAGCUCAAAUAUCCACGGCACUUGGAGCAACACAGACAUGGAAAGCAAGAUACAGAUUCAUGGCUGACCCAGAGGACAUGGCUUGGAGCAGUGCUAAGAGCUCAGCACGUCCGUUGUGAUAGGUUUCACAUUGCUAGAAGACUCCCCCCGCAUACACCUGUUUCCUACACUUUGCUUUCUCACUCUAGGAACUUUGAAUUGUCUGUGCUGUCAAGCAUUGAGACCUCUUCAUGCUGUGCUGUCAUUUAAAAGCAAGCCUCUGCUUCCUUAGAGUCCAUAUGCAAUCCAUUGCAGACCACAUGACACAGCCACAGUUAUCAGAAGGGUUUUUGUGUCAACAGGAAGGAGAAGCAUGUCUAUCCUUUGCUUCUAACUUGAAACUUGGCUGCAGAAUCUGCAUCAUGGAGAAGCUACUUAUUCCCCUCUUUACCUGGUGCUUUUCCUCGUUUGACAUAAUUCUGGGAGAAAAGUAGUAAAUAAAUAGAUGGAAGCAGCUUGGUAGUAAAAGUCAGCAGCUGUAAAGAAAGAAGCACACCUUGUACAAAAUGGGCCAGAUGUAGUAUCCCGGUUGUGAUCCUUUGGCAAACCUUGGGAAUAUUUGCUCUCUCCUCUGGAUCCCUUCUGUGUCUGCAUACUCAAUUUCUUCUGUGCAUUAAAAUUACUUUGUAGCAUUA